UCGGGGUGGGUGGCUCAGCGCUGUAGAGAUCCACGCGCUGCGACGGGCAGGCAAGCCGGGCAGAGCAGGGCCGGGGGCAGUGGGGGCGGUGUUUGGGCAGGCAGAGAUGGCAAUGAUGAGACUCUCUGCUGGCUCUCGGGCACCCUGAUGUGGACAAUCUCCCAGAAUCCUUGAGUCCUUUCCCCGCCCCGUGCGGUUAUUCACCGUCGCGUAUACACAGGUUGAGGGCAACAAACUCCGACACCAUGCACUCUAGUCCUAACGGGGGAAGCGUCGUGUGGGGGGGGGGGGGGUGGGGGGAGGAGAUAGAAAGCAGGCCAGUGCUAGUAAAAGGCAGGGAAUAAGGAAGACGGUGUGACACCCCACGCCCACCCACCCACGUAUCCUCCUAAUGUGUUCUGUCUGUCUGGAACAGAUCUUGGCCCUUUCCAAGCGCUCCCGAUGCCUCAUAUGCCUCUGGCUUCUUUUCGAUCACCACUCUGGGGGCUGAGGCCGUCACAGGUCUUCCCCAGGUCGUAUCCCCUCUCUACCCAGUCAAAGCCCCAUGGAUCCUCCCUCUCCCGGAGAAACCAUGAAGCCAAGAAGAAGCGCCAGCGAGAAAAGCAGGUGGCGCUGGAGGCUGGGGUAGCCCGGAAGAGCAAGUCACCUGCAGAAUCCAGUAAGUCCUGGACUCCUAAGGAGGUGGUGGUGUAUGAAAUUCCCACAGAACGCGGUGAAAAGAAAGAUGUCUCCCGGGUCCUGCCUCCUGCAUACAGCCCUCGAUAUGUUGAGGCUGCCUGGUACUCUUGGUGGGUGCGAGAGGGCUUCUUCAAACCAGAAUAUCAGACCAAGCUGCCCCAGGCCACAGGAGAGACGUUUUCCAUGUGUAUCCCACCUCCCAAUGUCACUGGCUCCCUACAUAUUGGACAUGCACUGACAGUGGCCAUACAGGAUGCCCUGGUGCGCUGGCACCGGAUGUGUGGGGAUCAGGUGCUGUGGGUCCCAGGCUCAGAUCAUGCGGGAAUUGCUACACAAGCUGUGGUGGAGAAGCAACUUUGGAAGGAGCAAGGAGUGAGGAGACAUGAGCUGAGCCGGGAAGACUUCCUUAGGGAGGUGUGGAAGUGGAAGGAGGAGAAAGGUGGAGAGAUCUGUGAGCAGCUCCAAGCUCUGGGGGCCUCCUUGGACUGGGACCGAGAGUGUUUCACUAUGGAUGCUGGCUCCUCAGUGGCCGUGACUGAAGCUUUUGUGCGACUCUAUGAGGCAGGGUUGUUGUAUCGGAACCAGCAGCUUGUCAACUGGUCCUGUGCUUUAAGAUCAGCCAUCUCGGAUAUCGAGGUGGAGAGCCGGCCCCUGCCUGGCCGCACGGAACUUCGUCUGCCUGGCUGCCCCAUCCCUGUGUCUUUUGGCCUCCUUGUUUCUGUGGCCUUCCCUGUGGAUGGAGAACCUGACACAGAGAUCAUAGUAGGAACCACAAGGCCAGAGACAUUGCCUGGAGACGUGGCUGUGGCUGUUCAUCCUGAUGACUCCCGAUACACACAUCUGCAUGGGCGACAGCUUCGUCACCCUUUGACUGGGCAGCUUCUCCCCCUCGUCACAGACUCUGCUGUUCAGCCACACAUGGGCACAGGGGCGGUGAAGGUGACUCCAGCACAUAGUCUUGCUGAUGCUGAGCUGGGAGCCCGACAUGGCUUGAGCCCUCUGAGUGUCAUUGCAGAGGAUGGGACCAUGACUUACCUCUGUGGGGAUUGGCUACAGGGUCUUCAUCGAUUUGUGGCCCGGGAAAAGAUUAUGUCUGCACUGAGGGAACGGGGCCUGUUCCGGGGCCUUCAGAACCACCCUAUGGUGCUUCCUAUUUGCAGCCGUUCUGGGGACGUGGUAGAAUACCUACUGAAGAGCCAGUGGUUUGUCCGCUGCCGGGAGAUGGGGGAUCGAGCUGCCCAGGCUGUGGAGUCAGGAGCUCUGGAGCUCAGUCCCUCCUUCCACCAGAAAAACUGGCAGCACUGGUUUUCCCACAUUGGAGACUGGUGUAUCUCCCGGCAGCUGUGGUGGGGCCAUCAGAUUCCCGCCUACCUGGUUGUAGAAGAGCAAACAAAGGGUGACAGGGAGGACUGUUGGGUGGUUGGGAGGACAGAGGCCGAGGCCAGAAAAAUAGCUUCAGAGCUGACAGGGAGACCAGCGGCAGAGCUGACCCUGCAGAGGGAUCCUGAUGUCCUGGACACAUGGUUCUCUUCAGCUCUUUUCCCCUUUGCUGCCCUGGGCUGGCCCCAAGAGACCCCAGACCUCACUCGUUUCUACCCCCUGUCACUUUUGGAAACUGGUAGUGACCUUCUGUUCUUCUGGGUGGGCCGCAUGGUCAUGUUGGGGACCCAGCUCACAGGGCAGCUCCCCUUCAGCAAGGUGCUUCUUCAUUCCAUGGUUCGGGACAGGCAGGGCCGGAAAAUGAGCAAGUCCCUAGGGAAUGUGUUGGACCCACGAGACAUCAUCAGUGGGGUGGAGCUGCAGGUGCUGCAGGAAAAGCUGAGGGAUGGGAACUUGGACUCUACAGAGCUGGCGAUCGCGGCUGCAGCACAGAGAAAGGACUUCCCUCAUGGGAUCCCUGAGUGUGGGACAGAUGCCCUAAGAUUCACCUUGUGCUCCCAUGGGGCCUUAGGGGGCGACUUGCACCUGUCUGUCUCCGAAGUCCUGAGUUCCCGGCAUUUCUGCAACAAAAUCUGGAAUGCCCUGCGCUUUAUCCUCAAUGCCUUAGGGGAGAAAUUUGUGCCCCAGCCUGCAGAAGAGCUUUCCCCUUCAUCGCCCAUGGAUGCGUGGAUCCUGAGCCGUCUUGCCCAUACUGCCCGGGAGUGUGGGCGAGGCUUCCUUGCCCAAGAGCUCUCACUUGUCACCCAUGCCCUGCACCACUUCUGGCUCCAUAACCUCUGUGAUGUCUACUUGGAGGCUGUGAAGCCGGUGCUGUUGCACUCGCCCCGUCCCCAAGGCCCCCCUCAGGUCCUCUUCUCCUGUGCUGACAUCGGUCUCCGCCUCCUCGCCCCACUGAUGCCCUUCCUGGCUGAAGAGCUCUGGCAGAGGCUGCCCCCCAGGCCUGGAGGCUCCUCUGCCCCUAGCAUCUCUGUUGCCCCCUACCCCACUGCCUGCAGCUUGGAACACUGGCACCAGCCUGAGCUGGAACAGCGCUUCUCCCGGGUCCAAGAGGCCGUGCAGGCACUGAGGGCUCUCCGAGCCAUGUACCAGCUCACAAAGGCCCGGCCCCGAGGGGCUUGUGGACCCCCAGACCCAUCUAUCUCUGCUAGCUGCCCGAAGACACAAGUUGCAAAAGCAGCUUGAUGGCCUCAUGGCCUGGACCCCAUCAGAGCGGGAGACGGAGACUAAAAGGCAGCAGAGGCUUUCUUCCCUCGAGUUGGAAUUGUCGAAGCUGGACAAGGCGGCCUCUCACCUCCGGCAGCUGAUGGAUGCAUGUCCUAACCCCAGAGAGCUCUGAGCUCCAGCUCACUAUAUGGUGGUUUUCUUCUCUUCCUGAUCUGCCUUUGAGGACAGACAGAAUCUAGCAGCUGUCAAGCAUGAUGGAGAUUCUGAGACCUUGUGGCUCACUUCCCAUAUUUCGUAAAUAAGGAAACCGAUUGGUUUGGUCAGUGUCACUGGGUGUCCUCAAGAUACUCACAUUCCUGCCCAGCCUCCCUCUUAUGCAGUCCUACCUGGAAGUUUAGGAAUGAGAUAAACUUGGUCUUUUUAUUCCUC
Molecule: RNA transcript, 3711 nt
Organism: Neofelis nebulosa (Clouded leopard)
Lineage: Eukaryota; Metazoa; Chordata; Mammalia; Carnivora; Felidae
Gene: VARS2
Gene name: valyl-tRNA synthetase 2, mitochondrial
Exons: 28
Source: RefSeq, a predicted model, not a curated record